AAAAUGGGAACUGGCAGCGGCUUGCUGGAAUGCUGGGGUUUCUCCACACUCGGAUACUACUGCAAACAUUUCCCGCUGCUGCUAAUGCUGGUUCAGCUCCUCUGGAGGUAGCUGUGGAAGGAGCCUGACUGCUUCUGUUGUUACUGGCACUUAAAAUCUCUAGACCUUCUCUGAAACACACAUUCAGAGCUUCGGGCCAGUUUUAUUGAUACAACUUGGUUUACUGGUUGGAGCAGGUAGAGGAAGAGAAAUUUUUAAAAGGAGCUUAGAAAUUGGAGUUUUAAUGCCUUCGUUUCCUCUUGGUCUCAUACUGGCUGGUAUACUAAGAGAGAGGCAAAUUGAUUCAGAUGGCAGAAGUGCACCGAUGACCCGGCCUCAUUUUGUUCACUUUGGCUGCGUGCUGAUUACUCUCAGAGGCUCCCUGCCUUCAAUACUUACACCUUUGUGCUGACCCAAGCAUGUCAGGCCUCAAGUCCUCCUUCCUGUGGCGUGGGGAGGGACAGGGAGCUGAAGGGCCAGCCCAGGGGCAGGACAAGUGAGCUCCCAAUCCCCUUGCAAACGCCAGGCUCUGCAAGGCCUCAAGCGCUGCUGCAUGCUGCACGUGAAGGCUGGCACCAUCUCCGUGCUGCUGCCAUCCUGGCCAGAAAUGUGGCAAUUUCCUUAGGAAUGAAUCACUAACAGAAAACAAACAAGAGCUAUUUGAGAAGUUUCUCCUUCCCUCUAAAUGUCCUGUCCAGUAUCAUAUUCCUGACAGUUUAUUCCUCAAGAAUUUAGUCAUCUAAGGUUUCAGUGACUCAUCUGAUGAACCUUCUACCCAUUUCCUGGAAAGAGUCCUGUGCAGUUCCAGUCUCAUUCUGCCUACAUUUUCAUAUAUUCCAGCUUUCCACCAUUUUAAGGGUGAGGGAGAGGCAAAAAUAUUUUGAAUGCACUGAAUGUGCAAUGUAACCGGAAAACAGAGUGUUGAAAGAAACAUCUGGAAAACAAAGAUGGGCCCUGAAUCACAGAGUCUCUUUUGGAAGUAGCUGCCUGUUGGACUGACAGCUGGAUAGAAGAAAAGGAGCUGCUGUUAUAAGAGCUGUGUGGUACAAUAUGGCCAUGAAUUUGCCAGGGCUGUACCCUAUAAAAUGAAGAUGAAAACACAUCAUUGCAUAGGUGUGACUCACUCUGGGGAAUUGCUUCUGAUGACAAGUACUCUGACACAAACCGUUGAAUGAAUUGGGCUGGAUGGGAACCAACACAGACAUUUUACAUAUUUGGGCCAAUCUGAAAGACACUUCUGUGCAGAAAACAACUGCUUCCUUUCCUGAUGUAACGGAAAUGCUAAGUCACGGCUUGAACCAGUGAUUGAGCACCUGGUGGGAAGGCAGGGCCAACCCAGGGGAGCUCAGGUGCAAGCAAUGCGCCUGAGUGACUGGAAGGGCUGGAGCCAGGAUCCACCCCUUCCCAAACCUCAUUUAAGGGUUGGCAGUGGAGGUGAGGGCAUCCUGCUGGAAAUCCCUGCCUACUGGAGGCCUUCCAAAGGUAACCAAAGGUGGGCCAGGACCUGAAUCUCCCCGAACUUGAUGGGAAAAGGAACUGUGCAUCCAAGCUUCAUGGCAGGCCCUUCUCCCUACUGUGCAACAAAAACCUGAGUCCCUUCUCAGUAAGUGGGGGUGUUGGGCAUAUGCCAGGAUAGAGAAUGUGAACAGGCAGGACCUCAUAAUUCCUUGGAGGGUGCCACCAGUAGAUGCAUGCCCUGAAGGACAGCAGCACUGAGCCCCAUGGAGAGUUUAUGGGAGAGUGGGUUUAUGGAGGUGUCUGGGGUACAAAGGGCCUCCAAUGCUCUGUAACACAGUGACAUGUGUUGGCCCUAAGGCACUUACUGGUGCAUGAGCCUAUGUGUUGCCAGCAGCCAUGCCGCAACAGAAACUGGUAAAACUUUGGAGUAAUGUGGUGAGUUCAGUCCUGCAACAGGGUUAGAAAGUCAGUCAGACAGGUAAGAAAUAGGCUCAAAAAUAAUAAGGUAAGAGAAAAGGGAGACAGUCUUCUGCCUUCUCAAGAUGCCUUUUGCUUUGGAAAGGGGGAAUCAAGCCAUUGAAAAAGAGCUUGAAGACUACUCCACAUCCACAAUCUACAACCCUGGCAUAGUUUCCCUGUGUCCUAAAGCAGAGGCAAAAAUAGGAGGUGAAUAUAUUCAUUACCACAAACUGCAUAGUGAAACCAUCAGAAUGGGUGUACUAAAAAAAGAGAUGAAACCUUUGCUUACGAAUAGACCUAAAAGAACUGAAUACAUGUGUACAGAGGGAUCAUUUUCCACUACCUACAAGAGGAAAAAUCUCCGGGGAAGUGGCUGAUGCCAAAUAUUUUCUUAUGCUUCAUAUGUCAGCAGGGUCUGGCAGAAGCCCUUAAAAAACAGAACACACAUUUUGUGCAAAUUGAGAAUCACAGUUUCUGGUGAUUUAGAUUGCUUCACCAAACUUGAGACAUUUCUCCAAAAAUACAGCAGAUGUUUGAUGAUGGACCAAGUUUUCAGCAUUUACACAGAUCAGAUGAUGUUAAGAUCAGCAGAAAAAAAAAACACAGAAUAACAUGGUAAAGAACUUCAGAGCUGCCUGAGAAGAAACUAAGCUGGCUAGACAGACAAAAAUGCUAAUUUCUCACAGCAGCUAUAAAACACUGGGGAGAGACAUUGUCAGAGCCAGGUACACAGCAAGGUUACAGAGGAGCUGAGACGCAUGCAGAAGCAGCGGGCACAAGGACUUGCUGAAACGAGAGCCCUAGGAAACAUGUGUAACUUGGUUGUGUGACCUGCCAACCCCAGGGCACUGUUAUAAGACAUCCAGCUGACUCUGACUACAAAUGAUAACAACUGCAGAAAAUGAAAGAGGUCAUUGAAGAGGGUGCAGCCCUAUGGUAUCUUAAUGGCACACACGAGACAGGGUUGUCCCCAGAAGAGAACUGAGCUAAUCCUCUUGCUAUAUAGUCAGAACUGGAGGACAGCAAUUUCUGUGCAAUGAAUACUAACAAAACCUGAGUGUCAGAGAGGAAGGAUUUGGCAUCUGUCCAUGAAUGUAAAAAGUUUCCUGUAUUAUUAUUUAAGAGAACUGACCAUAAGCCACUUGCUGCAGUUGCCAAAAUGGCCUGGCAAACCCCCUCUCCUCACAAACACAAAUAAUUUUUUUUCACUUAGAAAUUUAUGAUUUGCAGACUGGGAGGGAUUUGGCAGGUUCAAACUUAAUCCCUAGAGCAUUUGAUGAAAAUACAAUGAUGCAAAGUCCAGAGCUAGAUUUUGUAGGUGAUGAUUUGCUUAAAAAUGGUGGGGAUGACAUCCAGCAGAAAGUACAGGAGACUAUCACAGAACAGUCUCAGCUUUGUUACUGACUUCAGAUAAAGUAUGAAUGUACAAAAAAUGAUAUAACCUCUCUUGAUUGUUAUUUUCUAUUUGAGUAAAGGUAACUUUACUAUAAGGAACUAGAACUAAGAAGAUGGCAGGGUACGUCAAGCUUCUCAUUACUAUAUGUACUGUACCCGCCAAGGGAAACAAGCUCUGACAACAUAGCAGGAAUAAAUAAAUGCAAGAGGUCUGCAGUAUAGUACAGAUUUAGCUCUACUACCCGAGCUUCAUUAUUCCUCAUCAAACGAGUAGGUAGGAAAUAGUAUCAAAAGAAGUUGGCAACUACUGAGAAAAUGUGUGGAAUUAGGCUGUUUUAGGUCUCUUAUAUCAAGGUGGAACCCAUGAAGGAAGUGCGUCAACUACUGACAUUCCAUUUGAUGGAAAAAUAAAAUAAAAUUCUUUUAGUUCCUUUAGUCUCUUAGUUCCCUCCCAUCUUCAGGAGUUCCCUUUAAGUCACGGGUGUUUGGAAGAAGAGCAGAGAAAGAGUUCAGGACACAGCAAACUCCUAACAAAAUGACCUGCCACCCCUAACAACUGUAGCAGCGAUUUUCCAGAGAUGCAAGCGAUACCGCCAGUUCCUCAAGAUUCACCAAGCAGGGGGUCACAUGUUAUUGGUUGUAAUUGUUUGCAGUCACAUAUUAACACAUCUCUGAAUUUUGAUUUAAAAAACUUGGUGGUUGGAGGACCUCUGGCAUUAACAACUGCCCUUUCCAGUUUGUGAAUCUGAAUCAGGUGCUGCAAAGCCCUCAUUUUACUGCGAACAGCUGGAUGAAACCAAAUGCAUAACAAAGCAAAUCUUUCACAAGCAGCUUAAGCAGUGGAUGCACAAUGAGGACAAUUGCAUUUCAGUCCAGAUGUAGUUGCACUUAAGCCACAGGGAAGUAAUUCAUUUACAUGCAAACUUCUAAGUACUUUGGGAUGAAAAUACUAUACAGAAUCAGUUUAAUACACUCUACUUACGUGACAAACUCCCAUUUUGUAUUAUUGUUUUCCUAGUUUUGCUGUGCCAAUCAUACUGCAAUCCCUUGUCUUCAUUCUGAUCGUGCUGGAACAGCAGGCAGAUACUUUCAAAAAAGCCAGCAGAAUUAAAAACUUGCAAUGGAAAUUGUUCCUAUGCGUGCAGCCUGCCCAUGCUCAGAAACUGUUAAUGUUCCAUUUCUCUAUGCUUGGCUAACAAGUGGCUGCCAAUAUUCUCAUGGCCUUAAUGUGGCUUUGUGUAUUCAGUGUACUUUACUCAUUAGGUAGCAUGUCCUAGGCACUGUUUUGUGGUGCACGAGCAUCUCUUUCAGGGUCCCUCCUGCCUUCGCUUUCUACCAUGAUGCUUUCCUGCCUCAGCAGAAACAACAAACCUACACACCAACAAUUGCAAAUUCUUCCUGAUUUGAAAAGUCUUCUGGUACAAUUUGGUAACUUGCUCUAUCCCUUUUUGCUGAACCCUGCACAAAUGUCUGAAGUGACUGUGUUACCUACUAGUUAAACAAGGAAAUUAGAAGCCCUGGACCACCUUUGGUUGUGUACAAUACUACUGAAACUAGAUCUCACAUGAUGUCUAAAUUAAGUAUGUGUUGACUGCCUAAGGCAGCUUCACCCCAAAUCGAAUGCCAUUGUGUCAUGCAAUGGCUGCACAGCCUCCCAUCUUUUGUUUCCUCAUCUCUAACACUCAUCCAUCCAAAGGAUGUACUGAAAGUUCACUGGCAUUUCAGAAGACUUUUGAGAUUCUUGGAAGAACAAUCUAGUAUGAACAGAAGGCAGCUGAUACUAUUUCUUCCUUUUUUAGUGACGUCCCUCUGCUGUUGAUAUUGGGCUCUCACAUUCCUGAGCUAAGCUUGCUUGAGGGAUUUGAUUUUGGUUGGGCUUAAAAUCUGUUUUCUUCCUCAGAGAGGAUGCUGGAAUACACCUUUUAGUACAGUAAAUCUCAAAUGCUCGGGAACCUUGCAUUCAAGGUCCCUGCAAACUGCCUUCAUCUGACCUUCAUGUUCAUCUUUCUUAAUAUACUCAAACAAGGAAAGCUCGAACAGUUCAAUGCAAGCAUGUUCUGCACACCCUGUAGCCUUGUGCAAUUUGAACAAAUGAUUUAGCAUAGAUUAGAAGGUUUGGUUUAUGGCUAAAAAUCUGCAAUUAGAUACCCAUGUGAUUCCAGUUUUUGACAGGGAGAUAUAGUCCCAAAUUUGAAUAUAGAUUUCCACUUCAGGACCAGAGCUGUAUGUCUACACACCUUCUAGAGGCCUUGUAAAUACAAUCUCCUCUUUGUUUCUCCACCUAUAAAACUGGGAUAGUAAUAAACGUGUUUAGAGAAGUUCACUUCUAGAAGUUUUUACAAAGGUUAAAUGUUGCUUGUUUCAAUCUUGUUCCAUUAUGAAGUAGUCCUGUAAUGCUUCCAUCCUCUGUUAAAGAGAGUUCUUCUCUUGCAGACUUUAUGUUACUUAAUUAAAUUGUACCGGGUUGUUUCACGAGCUGGCCUCUCUUUUGGCUUUUUGCAGUUACAGAGUGAUGGAAGAAGGGUGUUUAGAGAGCAAGUAACAGUUUUGCAAGUAAAAGAAAGAGAAUUACUGACAAAAUGUUUCAGGCGAUGUUUCCAUAUAUAACUCUUCCUGGCUGUGCUCUCUAAGCAGCUCUGUCUGCAAUAGCCCUUCUUUCAUGUUGUGUCUUUGACAGAACAACUCCCAUUCAAAAAGCAUCAGCAAACUCUAGAAGCACACCCACAUGUUAGGUGCUCAAGCACAUUCCCUGUAGCUCUUGGACUUCCCCCUCUGCAGCGAGGAUCAACUUGGUGAUACCACUGUGAAUGGAUGAGUGGGAGAAAGACAUUAUCAGUAACAGUGGGUAAAGCAAAUGACCGUUUGCAUUAAGAUGGUGUCUGGCCUAGUCCAUGGCUUUCCAUGAGGAUAUCGGUGCUAAAGCAUCUUCUGGGCAGGGCAGAGACUUCAACUGAACUGAAAUAAUCCUUGGGGAUCCAGGAUGAGGGCACCAGAAGAGCUCUGUACACACGGGGCAGCGGAGGGGCCCCGCUGGCUGCAGCAACAGAACCGGGGCCUAUGGGAGGCCUCAGCGCAGGAGAAAUCACACCUGUCUCUCCUAUGGUUGUGUAGAGCUCGGCUGGGGAAGUGGGCUCGUUACACUGGCUCUGCCGUCAGCUGGUCUGUUUGGAAGUCAUGCUUGGGCUGCUCUGAGACACGGCAGUUCCCUUCAACACGCACAGUCACACAUAGCUAAUGGAACCACGAUUAUUACAGCAAUUUAGGAAAAAAAAGGAAAGCAUGUAUUGCCAGGUUGGAUAAAACGUAGGGCUUGACGUGGGCAGAGCUCCUGCCAGCUGAAGUGUUUGCACCUGGUCUUACUGGAAAUCCAUGGGGCAGAAGAUUCUUGCUGAAGUAUUUGUGUUGCCAUCAGCAUGGCAGCAACUCGCCCGCACGUACUCAGACACCCAGGAGGCCAGGGCCCAGGGCUCUUCGAGGAGGUGUGAGCAGACACUUCCCGCAGACAGUAUGCACAGCAAGAGCUCAAAAAACAUCAACUCUGCAGAGAAAAGUCAAAAAUCCCCACUGCUUUGGGCAUGGAAGACAGAACUGGACAAAACAGGAUCAGCUUCUCCAGGCACUGACUACAGCCUGUAGUUAGAGGAAAGUGGACAUAAAACAUUUCUGGCUCAGUUCAUCAAACUUCAUCAGGCUCUUUGUUACAAGGGCAAUACUAAGAGAGCCUGAAUUUGACAACCAUCUGUGGCCUCCUCCAGAAUUGGGCAGCUGUCUUGUCCCUGACCUCGGUUGUGAGUCCAGUGUCGUCGCUGCCUCCACUUGAGCCUUCUGAAGCUGUAUUCUUGCCCUCUGAGCCUGGGACUGUCUACAGACACCUAACAGUGCUGAGUAAGGGGCUUCCAUGCUGGAGACUCCACAACUCAGGACAGGAGCUGCACUGUUGCAGUAACAACAUUGUUCAGACCUCUAACCUCUCUGACUACAUGAAAUCAGCAUGGUGAAGACAUCUGGUAAAAAAGUAGCACUUUGGUAAAAUACCUCCCAUCCUCACCAAGCAUUAAGGACACUCAGCCCCUUUGGAAGGUUCACCCAUGGGUCCACAUGUUCUACAGCUAUGUGCCACAACAUGGUCCCCUUCUUUUUUGGGAAUUAGAGCCUGAAGAGGUCAGGAGCUCCUAUCACACCAAAUGAAGCUGUGGCAGACAGUUCGAAAUUAUUAAUGUCUCUUAAUACUAAGUGCACUCAGGAACCAAUUCAGCCUGCAGCACGCAGGCUGUGCAACAACAGGGUCCCAAAGGGGUUUCAGAAACAAAUCCCACUAAGGAGUCUGAAGCAGUAAUUCUGUUUGCACUGACACUUUUAUCUCUCGCAUUGACAGAGGAUACACAUGGUCUUGAAUCCCUGCACUUGCAAGCGCAUCCACCCCUCUCUUGCUGUUUCAGGUACUUCCCUGGGAGAGAGACAGCUGUCCAAGCCAAAAGCUUCAUUUUAUACACAUCCAAGAAGACAGUUUUUCAGUUCAGGAGGAGACUGGAAACUUUCAGUUAUAUGGCAAGAGCAUCACACCUCCACAUCCACAGUCUGACUUGUGUAAGGAUUCUCAUUCUGUCAUUGUAAAGACUGCAAUUCAUUAACAUAGCUCUGCUAUGCACAGUUUGAUAUUUAUCUUUAACCACAUCCCUUUAAAACUAACCUUACUGACAGCUUAUUUCUGUAAGCUUCCAUUUUACUUUUCAUUUAGUUUCAUUCCUGUAUGACUGUGGUAGCUCCUAGCACUGGCUCCUCUGGCUACAGACCACUGGCACAACUGGCUCACAGACAGCAACUCUGACUUGGAUGAUGUGCUAAAAGGUUCUUGUUUGCAUGCAGUUUCAAUUUUGUUUCAAGAGGAACUGAUGCUGACUUUUUGCUCCUGUUUCAGCAUUUGGCAGAACCACAUAAUUUUUGUAUGUUGUAGGAAACAGGAAGAAAGUUUUAACUUCAACUGCUUAGGCUGUACAUGCACAAACAACACGCAUAAAGCGUGUGCUACUCCUGUUCAUCUACUCCACACCUCAUUUCUUCUGUUCUCUUAACUCUUCUGGGAAUGUAUUUCUCUCACUUCUGCUCAUCUCUCUCCCACACUCAUAGGCAUGCACUGAUUUGUUAUUGCUAGGUCACUUGUGAUUACAGGUCUGGAUACACUAGUUUAUUGCAGGGUUGUCUCUGGUUUGAUAGGCUGUUUGCUGUUUUGUUAUUACAGUGCUAAACCUCAUUCUCCCUGUCUUCCAGGUCACUAUCUUUCACACAAACACACAAAUCACCACAACAUAUUUAUUUUGAAACGACAAACACAAAAAUUGCAUUGGAGUCUGCAAACAAUUUGGAAGAGAAUGAGGGAAAAAGAAAAGGCUAUGGGUCCUGGAAAUGCCAGCCUCCACGCCCUGCCUGACUCCUCUGAGUGGCUGACAUUUUUUCUGUGAGUGGAGUGUAAAGCUUCAAGUGCUGCAAAAGCUGCAUGUCCAUUUGCUUUGCUUGGCUGCAGAAGCCCAGGCGCAGCAGAUUGAUCUGGGAAGCUGUUAGUUAGGGUUGGGGAAAACCACCGGCCCUUUUGGCUGUACAAACACUGGCAAUAGCUGUUAUGAGUUAGAUUUGGUCCCCUAGAGCAACAGGCACGAAGAACUGAAAAUCUCUCAAAAUUAUUCUUGGUGUAUUUACACUUAUCAAACAUAACAGCAAAAACUCUCAAACCAAGAAAUGUAUUUUGAGUCCCUUCCAAAAAGGAGGGGAUUUCAAAACCAAAACUACACCUAUCCUCCCAGCAGACAGAAUUUCUGAUCUAUUUUGAAAAGUCCUAGGUAUACCCUCACUGCAUUCCUCCUCCUCCCCCGCCCACCAAAGAAAGUUAAGACAAACUUCUGGGCUUAGCUUAAAAGCCACAAAACUUCCUCCAUGUAUGUAUGCUCCAGCUCUACUGCAGAUAUUUGGAGUUACAUAAAACCGGGCAGUUAGUGAUUCUGGCAGCUGAAAAAUUAGAAAGUUCAGGGGCUGAGGAGGGCGUGGGCUGAGCUGAAGUUUUCCAGAGCGCCAAACCAGAUGGAGCUGAGGAAAAAUGCUUCUCUCUCGAGGCUUAGAAAGGUGGAGUUAGAAACUCUGAACUCAAACAAAUUGCAAGGAGUAUUUGCUGUUCCUUAUUCCCCGUGAGCACUGUUUGGCAACACUGGUUAUCGGGGAUGGUCUGGAUCUUAAAAAGCAAUGAAUGUGUUUUUCUAUAUGUGGCAAUGCAAUGAUUUUACAGUGACACCGCAGAGACUGACAUCCUCCAGUUUUCCAUUAUUAGCCAGAGCCAUGCAAGCCUUCUACCUUAUGAAUCAGCAGCAUGCUUCUAUUUCCAUCUGGACAGUUGAUGCAUAAGGAUGAGAUCAAAGCACAUCAUGUAAUAAACUGCAAAAGCUACCAAGCAUGAUCCAAGUUCAUUUACACUUGAAGAUGGUUUUGUGUUAAAACAUAUGCUUACUGAUGUUUACUGCUAAAUAUAAUGGCUAUGUUUAACCUUACGUCUGAGAGCAUGUAAAUCCUGGGGUCUGAACAAAAAACUAUUCAGGUGGGAAUGACCACCCUUCUUAUCUCUGCUCAGUGCUCAAAAGCGUGUUAGUUAACACAUGGUGUAAGAUAUUGGAAUUUUUCAGUAUAAGAAGUCUCAAAUGGGUUUUCAAACAUCUUGGCUCGUGAGGCUUUAUUUUCUAGCUCUGGACAGAGUUUUAAAACGUGCUUUCAAAUGUGACUAGCUGUGAUCACAUUAAGGACAAGACAGCAUUGAACCAUGUGCUAGUUAAUAAAUAGUAGAGUACUAUUUUCACUUUUAAGCCAAGCACAAGAUAGAUGCUGGCCAACACGCAAAAGACCUAAACUUCUCUAACUUGGUAUAGAAUUCAUCAUGUAACUAAGUAAAGUAACUACUUCUGUGCUAUGUAGUCUUGGUCAAGUCGCUCAAAAGCUUACCACUUGAGAUUAUGGUUCUGCAGCAGUCUAAAUUAAGCUGUCAGUUUAUGUGGCCUGGCUCUGGCUAUGCAUUCCCAUUCCUUCCUUACACCCAACACAUUGCUCAUUAGACCAUUUGUCAAGCUGUUUACUGAUUUAGGCGAGCACAGAACACCUAACAAAAGUAACAUACUCCUUUCUACGAUCUGGGAUCACAAUAAUAGCUAAAGCUAUGGGUAAGAAGUUAAUUUCACUUUUCCAUUUCAUUUUAGAUAGCUGCAAAUUUCCAAAGUUUUGAGGCUGUUUUGAUUUUGUUUGUUUAUUUUUAAGAAAGGAAAGGAAAAUUUCGGAGAACAAAAUAAAAUGCUCAUUCUCACAUACAAAACAUAAUUCCAACACACUUUUUCUGUUACUGCCAGGUCACUUUCCUUAGGAAAACGUUGAAUCAAAAAUUAAGAAAAUGCCCUUUCUUCUCCCCUGUAGUAGGGUCUGUAGGAUCCAGGGCCUGACUCCAGUAAGACCCUCAGCCUGCCAUGUACAGGACUGGAAGCUGCAGGACGCAGCUGCAGCACCGCACUCUGUGCUGGAGCCCCAUUGCAGACUGCAGUGAUUUGCACAACCCAUUUUUUCCCCUCUGUCUGGGAUCUGGCAAUGACCUCCUGCAACCUAACUGCUCUCCCCACCAGUGUUUGCUCCAGGCUCUGUGUUGACCUGGCUAAUGCUUCUAGCUGCAAGGAGAUGAAAAGAAGGUAAGGAAAACAAAAAGCCAAGGGGGAAAAAAAAAAAAAGCUAGACCUGCAGAUGAAAGUUUGAGGCAGUGUUUUCCUUUCCAAAGUGCUGCUACAUUCCCAUAAACUUGUGGU
Numida meleagris (helmeted guineafowl) is the source of this 11171-nucleotide long non-coding RNA. RefSeq lists it as uncharacterized. The record is from RefSeq and is a predicted model, not a curated record. Lineage: Eukaryota; Metazoa; Chordata; Aves; Galliformes; Numididae. The transcript is spliced from 4 exons.